Molecule: ribosomal RNA, 443 nt
Filed under: uncultured bacterium
Lineage: Bacteria
Description: partial 16S ribosomal RNA
Rfam family: Bacterial small subunit ribosomal RNA
Source: RNAcentral
CCUACGGGUGGCAGCAGUGGGGAAUAUUGGGCAAUGGAGGCAACUCUGACCCAGCAACGCCGCGUGAAUGAUGAAGGUCUUCGGAUUGUAAAGUUCUGUGAUGGGGGAUGAACACAAUGACGGUACCCCAAUAGCAAGCCACGGCUAACUACGUGCCAGCAGCCGCGGUAAUACGUAGGGGGCAAGCGUUAUCCGGAAUGACUGGGCGUAAAGGGUGCGUAGGUGGUUUAGUAAGUUGGCGGUGUAAUUCCGGGGCUGAACCUCGGCGCUACCGCCAAAACUAUUAGACUAGGGUGCAGGAGGGGGUAGUGGAAUUCCCAGUGGAGGGGGGGAAUGGGGAGAAAAUAGGAGGAACAUCAGGGGCGAAGGCGACUUACUGGACGGUAACUGACACUGAGGCACGAAAGCGUGGGGAGCAAACAGGAUUAGAUACCCCAGUAGUC